RNAcentral lists this non-coding RNA (311 nucleotides) under Carlito syrichta (Philippine tarsier). Lineage: Eukaryota; Metazoa; Chordata; Mammalia; Primates; Tarsiidae. The record is from RNAcentral.
ACUGGGUAUGGUGGCAUGUACCUAUAAUCCCAGCUACUCGGGAGAAUGAGGCAGGAGGAUAACUUGAGCUCACUAAACCAGAGGGUAGCUUGUAGUUCACUAAACCAGUCAGGUGUCCAUACUAAUUUCAGCAUCGAUAUGGUGACCUUCCAUGAGUGGGAGACCACCAGGUUGUCUACAGAGAAGUGAACUGGCCUGGAGCAGAAGUGGAGCGGGUCAAAACUCCUGUGCUUCCUAGAAUGGUAGAGUUUAAUUUAAAAAAAAAAAAAAAAAAAGACUGCUUUGCUGAUUGAUAGUGGGAUUGUGCCUGU